UACGAAGGGGGCUAGCGUUGCUCGGAAUUACUGGGCGUAAAGCGCACGUAGGCGGAUUGUUAAGUCGGAUGUGAAAUCCCCAGGCUUAACCUGGGAACUGCAUCCGAUACUGGAUGGCUUGAAUCCGGGAGGGGGAUGCAGAAUUCCAGGUGUAGCGGUGAAAUGCGUAGAUAUCUGGAGGAAUACCGGUGGCGAAGGCGGCAUCCUGGACCGGCAUUGACGCUGAGUGAGCGAAAGCCAGGGGAGCAAACGGG
This 254-nucleotide ribosomal RNA is filed under the name uncultured bacterium. RNAcentral describes it as "partial 16S ribosomal RNA". It matches the Rfam family "Bacterial small subunit ribosomal RNA", at positions 524 to 776 of the family's 1533-position model. The record is from RNAcentral.